GUAGGUGGCAAGCGUUGUCCGGAAUUAUUGGGCGUAAAGCGCGCGCAGGCGGUUCUUUAAGUCUGAUGUGAAAGCCCACGGCUCAACCGUGGAGGAUCAUUGGAAACUGGAGAACUUGAGUACAGAAGAGGAAAGCGGAAUUCCACGUGUAGCGGUGAAAUGCGUAGAGAUGUGGAGGAACACCAGUGGCGAAGGCGGCUUUCUGGUCUGUAACUGACGCUGAGGCGCGAAAGCGUGGGGGAGCAAACAGGAUUAGAUACCCUGGUAGUCCACGCCGUAAACGAUGAGUGCUAAGUGUUAGGGGGUUUCCGCCCCUUAGUGCUGCAGCUAACGCAUUAAGCACUCCGCCUGGGAGUACGGCCGCAAGGCUGA
RNAcentral lists this ribosomal RNA (372 nucleotides) under uncultured organism. RNAcentral's name for it is "partial 16S ribosomal RNA". It matches the Rfam family "Bacterial small subunit ribosomal RNA", at positions 527 to 897 of the family's 1533-position model. The record is from RNAcentral.